AGAGUUGGCUGGACAGUCGCCGUUCCGCUUGCGGAAGGGAGGAAAGUCCGGGCUCCACAGGGCGGAGUGCCAGGUAAUGCCUGGGAGGCGCGAGCCUACGGAAAGUGCAGCAGAGAGUAGACCGCCGAUGGCCCCGCAAGGGGAUCAGGUAAGGGUGAAAGGGUGCGGUAAGAGCGCACCGCGCGACUGGCAACAGUUCGUGGCACGGUAAACCCCACUCGGAGCAAGACCAAAUAGGAACCCAUCGGUGUGGCCCGCACUGGGUUCGGGUAGGUUGCUAGAGGUUGUCAGUGAUGGCAAUCGUAGACGAAUGACUGUUCUCGACAGAACCCGGCUUACAGGCCAACUCUGAUU
This 354-nucleotide RNase P RNA is filed under the name Halopseudomonas salegens. RNAcentral describes it as "Bacterial RNase P class A". It matches the Rfam family "Bacterial RNase P class A". From Rfam's summary of the family: Ribonuclease P (RNase P) is a ubiquitous endoribonuclease, found in archaea, bacteria and eukarya as well as chloroplasts and mitochondria. Lineage: Bacteria; Pseudomonadati; Pseudomonadota; Gammaproteobacteria; Pseudomonadales; Pseudomonadaceae. The record is from Rfam by way of RNAcentral.